Meriones unguiculatus (Mongolian gerbil) is the source of this 933-nucleotide long non-coding RNA. RefSeq lists it as uncharacterized. The record is from RefSeq and is a predicted model, not a curated record. NCBI's taxonomy places the organism in Eukaryota, Metazoa, Chordata, Mammalia, Rodentia, Muridae. The transcript has 3 exons.
UUGGCUCAUUGUUUGACGGUAUAGUCCAUCAUGUUUGAGAAAGCACAGCGGGAGCGAGAGACAUCUGUUUCACAGUCAGGAAGCAGGGAGGGAUGAGUGCUGGUGCUCAGCUCACAUUUCCCCUUUCCAUUCAGUCCUAGGCCUUCCUCACCAUGCCAUGUAAGAGUGCUGCUCACAUUUACAGUGGGUCUUCCCGCCUCAGUUAACGCAACCUAAAAACUCUCCCACAGGCACGCCCAGAAGCUUGUCUCCUGGGUGACUCUAGAUCCUGCCAAACUGGCAGUCACACGCUCAGCAUGCAGCGCACAGCUAGUGCUCACCCACCAUUAGCAGUGAUCUUGGGGACAGGAGAUCUUGGGGACAGUCUGGCUCAGUGACUCUCAACCCUGCCGGCCCAUUGACAAGUUUGGGACAUCCAGAGGCCUGAGCCUGACCUCAAACCAAUGAUCCUUGGGGUAAGGCCAAGGCCUGGGACAGAAACAUGAGCUGAGAUGAGAAUCCUUCAUUUUACCGAUAGGAGAUAGAGGACUUAUUCAAGUACUCCUGGAACCGUGUCUACUUCCUCGCGUGAUUUCCCAGUCUCAUCCAGACCCACGUCCGAGGCCCGGAAGGGAACACAGACCAUGAGAAAAUCCACGCACGCGUGCUUAUUCUGCCCAUCCUUCCAGCCGAGGCCCAGGAGGAAGCGGUAGGGGCAGAAAUGCCACAGCUUCUGGUUUUGACUUCUCACACCACUCACCAACCUCAGACUCAGACUCAGCCACAGCUCCUCUACAGCAUCGGAGGAGAGGCUCAUCUGCUCCACACACAGAAAGGCAGAGAUGUCACCAAAUGCCUGCUGUGCCCGGACUAGGGCUGCCUUCCUGGUUCUUUCAAGUCUUCCAACUGCUUCCAGGUGACAAGAGUCUUGAUUGUCUUGAGCACCGGGUUGCA